CCCGCUGCUGAUAACAUCUCGAACAAACAUCUUUAACUAAGGAGUCUCUGAGGAAAACUCAGUUAUAAAAAUUCUAAUAAUUUCAUCCACCUUUGUGGCUAAAUAUGUAAGUUAAAUAAGGAAACUGAACGAUUAGCUGGACAAUUUUAAAUCCAAAUUGGCAUUCGGAGACAAUAACUACCGUAUUAAUUCGUCAGAAAAAGGGAAAAUCACCCAAUUCAUGGCAUUGUUUUCGCCCACAAAAUUUCCACCACGUGGCAAAAAUGGAGUCAAAUUUAGAAAACAGUGAUUUAAUGGACCCGUCACCCCCAAUAUCAAUUUGCACCCCUUUGGAGGAACGACGUCAUCACUCUUUUCGUCAUCAUCAUCUCUGAAGCACCCUCGUCUGGAUUAGUGACCUGCAAACCCCACACAUUAUCGAGUAACUUCAACAAUAAGUAAAUUCUCGUCGUCUAUUUCCACAUCAUUUUCACCUAAUCUACAUACUCCAUACUUACCAAUACAUACAUAAACUGCACACGUAUUUAUGUAUGAACAUAUGUACAUACGUACAAAUUAAGCAUGAGCACCGUAUUAUUUAAAUUGUUUGCAUUUCUGAGGUCCAUAAUUUUCGACUUCACGUUUAAGUCAGACUAACAACUCGCCAAACUAAUUACAUUUAUUUAUUUACAGAUGUAUUUAUUGCUAAUAUUUUAAAACAAAAAAUCAAUUUGACGUGAAUAUCUGUGGCGAAGUUGCCAUAAAAGGGCACUAUUUAUUUCUGAAGUUCCAUCUUCCACAAAAUUUUAUUCUUAAUUGUUGCAAGUUUAACUUGACGAUAUUUUAGAAAAUCUUAAAAAGUGUUAUAAUACGCACUAACAAUGGAGG
This is a long non-coding RNA of Folsomia candida, 867 nucleotides long. RefSeq lists it as uncharacterized. The transcript has 3 exons. The record is from RefSeq and is a predicted model, not a curated record. NCBI's taxonomy places the organism in Eukaryota, Metazoa, Arthropoda, Collembola, Entomobryomorpha, Isotomidae.